This is a non-coding RNA of Marmota flaviventris (yellow-bellied marmot), 432 nucleotides long. Lineage: Eukaryota; Metazoa; Chordata; Mammalia; Rodentia; Sciuridae. The record is from RefSeq and is a predicted model, not a curated record.
ACGUCCCCAGCUCCUCUGCUGGCUGGCCAUGGGGCCCACGGAAGUGGACAGAACACCCCUUGGGUUGUGGAUGUCCUUCUCCACUGCCUCCAAACGCUGGUCUUAGGCAGCGGCACCCCAGAGGUGGGGGCCUGACCCCGCCCACCCCGCGUCUUGCAGGUGCACCCUUUGCUGCCAGGCUCGGCCACCGUCCUGAUCCAUGACCUGUGCCUGCCCUUCCUGGCCCCAGCCAAGGCCACCGUCUACGUCUCGGACAUCCACGAGCUGUACGUCCGCGUGGUCGACAAGGUGGAGAUUGGGAAGACGGUCAAGGCCCACGUCCGAGUGCUGGACUUUUACAAGAAGCCUUUCCUGGCCAAGUACUUUGCCUUCAUGGACCUCAAACUGCGGGCGGCCUCCCAGAUCAUCACCCUGGUGGCCCUGGACGAAGCC